Molecule: long non-coding RNA, 1056 nt
Filed under: Cairina moschata (Muscovy duck)
Lineage: Eukaryota; Metazoa; Chordata; Aves; Anseriformes; Anatidae
Description: domestica (muscovy Duck (domestic type)) lncRNA (ENSCMMG00000006468.1)
Source: RNAcentral
ACUACGAGCUAUUAAAAGGUCUUUUAGUGCAAAACUUAUCAUGUUGGAGCUUCUUUGUACAUAUAUAGAGAGGAUGCAACUCAGCUGGGGAGAGAGUCCUCUGAGAGGAUUACUAGUUUGUACAAGACAGCUAUGAUAGCAGUGAGAGACAGUAAUGUCCUCAAAAGAUUCCUGAUGUUAAGUACUUAGGGCAUCCUGCCUCUUUGCUGUGUCCUGGGAAAAAUAAAAUCCAGGGUCCAAGCACAGCUCCAGCUGAUCAUAUGACAAGGCAAUAUAACAUGUAGACCAGGUGUUGAGUUUGCUGGCUAGAUGCUAUAUCUCCUGAGCUGUGAAGAUGGAAUUGGACCAAAUUUGUAUGCCCAGCAGCAUUUAGUGAGGUGACAUCAGGCUUCUGAGAUCUCAGCACAGCAGAGCUGACCGGUGAAUCAGGAAAGAGCUGCAGUACAGAAAGGCACCUGUACAACUGCUGAUCUGUAAUGAACAAAAGACAGAUCCAUACAAACGUAACUACUGUACAUCUGAGGCUAAAUUAAUGUCAGAACAUGUUAGUCACAUUGCUGUUGCAUCAUUGUAAUAAAUUACAUAUUGCAGAUCCUUUUGCCUCAAUUGUUUUGCAUUAGUAUAAGCUGCCUGUUUUUACAGGCUCUGGAAUAUGUUUCCUAGAGAAGCACGUUGUCAGAGGAAUGUGGUGGAGUUACAGACUUUCCCCAGAAUCACCUAGUAGCAGUCUCCACACUGUCCUCAAAGCAGAGAACUCUUGCAAGUUUCAUGUCAGAGACUUCUUUAAUAAUCAAAGAGAGUGAGGUCUAUACAGAGAGGUUCAGCUGCUCUGUGCCACCUGGCUGUGCCAUGCCUCUCCUUUCUGCCCUGCUACAGCUGGAGAGAGAGACCCUGCAGCUGCAGUGUGACUGUGCCUUGCUGUGCUGGGACAGUCUUUACCAGCAGAAUCUUCUUCCAAGCCUUCCAAGUUUCUCUGACUACAAGCAACCUUUGGGGAGAGAGUUACUAUCCACAGCAGAGGAAGAUCAAAUUAGGAAAUACUCAAAUGAAGAAUGA